GGCGCGACAUUUGCGACGUUUGAAUUUUGCACUAUUUCCCGCGCGCUCCGUACGUGACCGGCCGGCGCACUGCGUUACCGCGAUAAAGAAAAUAGUUCCUCAAGGAAGCUAAGCAGAAAACUUUCACACUCUUGCAAACCACAGAAAUUGUUAAGAAAUACCAUUAUAUUACAAGAUUUGUUAAUAAAUAUGGCAAUUCACAUCUAUGAAAGCGUGGAUUUGUAUGCGCGCUUUUGUGUGAAUGCGCGCUUGCGCUGUUGACUCUUUGGCGGAUUCCGGAACUUUGUGCGUGCGGCGUAUGUGUGCGGGUUGCGUGAUGAAUUUGCUGUGUUUUCUGUGCCCUUUGCCUCGCUGUGACAUCAUUGGUAUAUUACAACUUAUUGCUCGGUCUUUAUGGGCUACACGGUGCCUCGAAGAUCACCAUGAUCGCCUCCGACUCAGCCACAUCGAAGAAUCAAAAUGAGCCUGGAGACGCCACAGCCGGAAUGCAAAAGGUUGGAGAGGUGCUCAUUCAGAUGAUCCUGGCACAGCUUGCCAUGGUGGACCAGGCAAGUUUGCAAGGGCCUUGAUUCACCAUGUGUUCACUGAGGAGAACCUCAUGGGCCACUUACUUCUCGGAAACACCACCACCAAUAGGCAAAAAGAGGCUCUUGGCCUUAUCAGGGUCAACGCUGUUAUAGGCAAGUACCGUACAUCCUUUUACCCAUUGCAUUUUUGCCUUCACAUUUUGUACUUGGAAUUACCAGCUUGCUAUUAGCACAACAAAUGACUUUCAAGUAGCCUGUGUCUGCAACUACGUGCUACAAUAGCCUACUAUAU
Dermacentor silvarum is the source of this 819-nucleotide long non-coding RNA. RefSeq lists it as uncharacterized. The transcript is spliced from 3 exons. The record is from RefSeq and is a predicted model, not a curated record. NCBI's taxonomy places the organism in Eukaryota, Metazoa, Arthropoda, Arachnida, Ixodida, Ixodidae.